AGCGAACGCUAGCGGCAGGCUUAACACAUGCAAGUCGAGCGGGCCCUUCGGGUUCAGCGGCGGACGGGUGAGUAACGCGUCGGAACUUGCCCUCUCGUUUGCAACAACCCAGGUAAACUUGAGCUAAUACCGGAUACGCCCUCUUAUGGUAGGGAUUCCUGCCGGUGGAUCGGCCCGCGUCUGAUUAGCUAUUCGGUGAGGUAACGGCAUACCAACGAGACGCUCAGUAGCUGGUCUGCGACGAGGCUCAGCCACACUGGGACUGAGAAACGGCGCAGACUCCUACGGGAGGCAGCAGUGGGGAGUAUUGGACAAUGAGCGCGAGUCUGAUCCAGCCGUGCCGCGUGAGUGAUGAAGGCCUUAGGGUUGUAAAGCUCUUUUAUCCGGGACGAUAAUGACGGUACCGGAGGAAUAAGCCCCGGCUAACUUCGUG
RNAcentral lists this ribosomal RNA (433 nucleotides) under uncultured bacterium. Its description in RNAcentral is "partial 16S ribosomal RNA". It matches the Rfam family "Bacterial small subunit ribosomal RNA", at positions 29 to 507 of the family's 1533-position model. The record is from RNAcentral.